This 468-nucleotide ribosomal RNA is filed under the name uncultured bacterium. RNAcentral's name for it is "partial 16S ribosomal RNA". It matches the Rfam family "Bacterial small subunit ribosomal RNA", at positions 28 to 507 of the family's 1533-position model. The record is from RNAcentral.
GACGAACGCUGGCGGCGUGCUUAACACAUGCAAGUCGAACGGAAAGGCCCUGCUUUUGUGGGGUGCUCGAGUGGCGAACGGGUGAGUAACACGUGAGUAACCUGCCCUUGACUUUGGGAUAACUUCAGGAAACUGGGGCUAAUACCGGAUAGGAGCUCCUGCUGCAUGGUGGGGGUUGGAAAGUUUCGGCGGUUGGGGAUGGACUCGCGGCUUAUCAGCUUGUUGGUGGGGUAGUGGCUUACCAAGGCUUUGACGGGUAGGCGGCCUGGGAGGGUGGCCGGCCACAUUGGGACUGCGAUACGGCCCAGACUCCUACGGGAGGCAGCAGUGGGGAAUAUUGCACAAUGGGCGGAAGCCUGAUGCGGCAACGCCGCGUGCGGGAUGCCGGCCUUCGGGUUGUAAACCGCUUUCGCCUGUGACGAAGCGUGAGUGACGGUAAUGGGUAAAGAAGCACCGGCUAACUACGUG